UUGAACGCUGGCGGCAUGCCUUACACAUGCAAGUCGAACGGUAACAGGUCUUCGGAUGCUGACGAGUGGCGAACGGGUGAGUAAUACAUCGGAACGUACCCUGUCGUGGGGGAUAACACAUCGAAAGAUGUGCUAAUACCGCAUACGACCUGAGGGUGAAAGCGGGGGAUCGCAAGACCUCGCGCGAUAGGAGCGGCCGAUAUCGGAUUAGCUAGUUGGUGAGGUAAAGGCUCACCAAGGCGACGAUCCGUAGCUGGUCUGAGAGGACGACCAGCCACACUGGAACUGAGACACGGUCCAGACGCCUACGGGAGGCAGCAGUGGGGAAUUUUGGACAAUGGGGGCAACCCUGAUCCAGCCAUUCCGCGUGAGUGAAGAAGGCCUUCGGGUUGUAAAACUCUUUCGGCAGGAACGAAACGGUGAGCUCUAACAUAGCUUGCUAAUGACGGUACCUGAAGAAGAAGCACCGGCUAACUACGU
RNAcentral lists this ribosomal RNA (480 nucleotides) under uncultured bacterium. RNAcentral's name for it is "bacterial SSU rRNA". It matches the Rfam family "Bacterial small subunit ribosomal RNA", at positions 30 to 506 of the family's 1533-position model. The record is from RNAcentral.